RNAcentral lists this ribosomal RNA (468 nucleotides) under uncultured bacterium. RNAcentral's name for it is "partial 16S ribosomal RNA". It matches the Rfam family "Bacterial small subunit ribosomal RNA", at positions 28 to 507 of the family's 1533-position model. The record is from RNAcentral.
GACGAACGCUGGCGGCGUGCUUAACACAUGCAAGUCGAACGGAAAGGCCCUGCUUUUGUGGGGUGCUCGAGUGGCGAACGGGUGAGUAACACGUGAGUAACCUGCCCUUGACUUUGGGAUAACUUCAGGAAACUGGGGCUCAUACCGGAUAGGAGCUCCUGCUGCAUGGUGGGGGUUGGAAAGUUUCGGCGGUUGGGGAUGGACUCGCGGCUUAUCAGCUUGUUGGUGGGGUAGUGGCUUACCAAGGCUUUGACGGGUAGCCGGCCUGAGAGGGUGACCGGCCACAUUGGGACUGAGAUACGGCCCAGACUCCUACGGGAGGCAGCAGGGGGGAAUAUGGCACAAUGGGCGGAAGCCUGAUGCAGCAACGCCGCGUGCGGGAUGACGGCCUUCGGGUUGUAAACCGCUUUCGCCUGUGACGAAGCGGGAGUGACGGUAAUGGGUAAAGAAGCACCGGCUAACUACGUG